RNAcentral lists this ribosomal RNA (253 nucleotides) under uncultured bacterium. RNAcentral describes it as "partial 16S ribosomal RNA". It matches the Rfam family "Bacterial small subunit ribosomal RNA", at positions 524 to 776 of the family's 1533-position model. The record is from RNAcentral.
UACGGGGGGGGCAAGCGUUGUUCGGAAUUACUGGGCGUAAAGGGCUCGUAGGCGGCCAACUAAGUCGGACGUGAAAUCCCCAGGCUCAACCUGGGAACUGCGUCCGAUACUGGAUGGCUUGAAUCCGGGAGAGGGAUGCAGAAUUCCAGGUGUAGCGGUGAAAUGCGUAGAUAUCGAGAGGAACACCUGCGGCGAAGGCGGGUUGCUGGGCUGAUACUGACGCUGAGGCGCGAAAGCUAGGGGAGCGAACGGG